RNAcentral lists this unclassified non-coding RNA (345 nucleotides) under soil metagenome. RNAcentral's name for it is "partial contains 5.8S ribosomal RNA, internal transcribed spacer 2, and large subunit ribosomal RNA". The stretch from base 1 to 120 matches the Rfam family "5.8S ribosomal RNA", at positions 35 to 154 of the family's 154-position model. The record is from RNAcentral.
GAUGAAGAACGCAGCGAACUGCGAUAAGUAAUGUGAAUUGCAGAAUUCAGUGAAUCAUCGAGUCUUUGAACGCACAUUGCGCCCCCUGGUAUUCCGGGGGGCAUGCCUGUCCGAGCGUCAUUGCUGCCCUCAAGCCCGGCUUGUGUGUUGGGCCUCCGUCCUCCUCCCGGGGGACGGGCCCGAAAGGCAGCGGCGGCACCGCGUCCGGUCCUCGAGCGUAUGGGGCUUCGUCACCCGCUCUUGUAGGCCCGGCCGGCGCUUGCCGACACAUCAAUCUUUUUUCCAGGUUGACCUCGGAUCAGGUAGGGAUACCCGCUGAACUUAAGCAUAUCAAUAAGCGGAGGA